This is a long non-coding RNA of Chinchilla lanigera (long-tailed chinchilla), 1753 nucleotides long. RefSeq lists it as uncharacterized. The record is from RefSeq and is a predicted model, not a curated record. NCBI's taxonomy places the organism in Eukaryota, Metazoa, Chordata, Mammalia, Rodentia, Chinchillidae. The transcript is spliced from 2 exons.
ACACCCGCGGACGCAGAAGCUGCCAGCAAAGAGAACCUGCAGCCGCUUCCUCCUCCACCCUCUGAGCCUGUUCGGGGAGCCGGCCCGGGCCGGGGAGGAGAAAGUUGCAGCCGGGUAGGGACGGCAGCAGGUGGGAAGCGCCGCUGCUCGGCUUCUGCGGCUGCCUAAUUGCAGCCUGGCCGGGGAACUUUUCAUCAGCUGCAGAGCAGGGCACUGAUUAUCACACUGCCAGUAGAUGCUAGACAUUUGCCACUGGCCAUGGACAGCCUGAGUAGCAGUGGAGCCUGGAUAUGCUGAUGUGGCACAGAUGCUGUUAUGAUGAUGUCCCACCUAAGGACACUGUUCUUCUGCCAUCUAUGCAUGGGUUACUCUGGGAAAACCUCUAGGAUGGAUUCUGUUGAUAAGGCUCGAAUCUCUAGAACAGCAGCUAUCUGGAAGACGUCUUGUGGAAUUUGAAUACUGCUGAUUAUUUAGAAGUACUAAUGAAGAACUGGAUUAAAAUGGAAAAGGUAGCAACGCAGAAAACAGAACGAAUGAAACUGAGAGAUAGGAUCAAUGGGGGAUUUUUCUUUUAAAGGUCCACUCAUCAGAAAACUUAAUUAUUCGUGUGGAAUGACAACUAUAACAGAUCCCUUUAAUUUGUUCAAAUACAAGAUUGAGCAUUACUGAUGGGCAAGUAUCUUUGUCUAGAAAUGACCCAAAACAGGGAUAAUGUUUUACAGGAGCAUAUCUAUAUAUUACUAGACCUGUGAAAAGAAAACACUAGGUCUUUCUGAGAUUUUAAAUCUAAGCUGCCAUAAGGGCCCUGGAAUAAAAAUCCGCAACUAUGCCCAUAGGCAAAAUCAGGCUUAAAAUCUAUUUUAGAUUUAAAAGUAACCCUGUUAUUGUAUUUUUAAGGUAGGAAAAAUAAAAAGAUAGAUACUGUUUCAUGACUUUGAAAAAUUAUAUGCAAUAGAAAUUUUGUGAAAGUCAGAAAGUUUUGCUAGAAUGCAGCCACAUUUAUUUGUUUACAGAAAUCAGUAGCUUUCUAACUACAAUGGCAGUGUGAGUGAAUGGAACAGAGAGCUGCUGUAGCCCACACAGUCUGAAGAAUUUAUUCUCCCAUCCUUUACAGAAAAUCAGCUGACCCCUAGCCUGGAAUAAUGCACUAGAUCAUCAGGUUAAAUUGAAUAAAAAGAGUGUGACUACUAUUCCUCUCCUCUGAUUCUUGGACUUUGAGGAAAUGUAAUGAACAAUUAAACUGCUGGCUCCUCAUUAAAGCUGAGGUAAAAUGCUCAUAGAUUCAUUUUAGAAUAAAAAACAUAAUGAUUGCAAAAUAUGAAUUCAGACAAGAAAUGUUUUCUGUUCAAACUAAUUAUAGUUAAUAUGUUCUGAUCAGUUAUGCUUAACAUGUUAAAAAUAAGUGGCUUUCAAUUGAGCUUAUAAGAGAGAAUUUGGGCUUUUAUUAAUGUCAGUGAUUACAAUUAGUGAAUGUAAAACUAAUUCCGUGCCGAUUAAGUUUUGAUCUAUUUUUCACCAUUAUAUCUUUCCAAGAUUUUAGCAAACCUGCAAAUAGGCUGUAUUGAGCUUGUUCAUGCCCAGAAAAUUAAAGAGGCUGUUAAACAUUUAGGAAAAUCUUUAACUUUGUGUUGCUUCAGUUCAAUGUAUCUUGAAUUUGGCCUCCUUAGUGAUAAUUAACUACUGUACUCAAGAAUCUAUACAUAUUGAAAAGUAACAUCAAAAACAACAAAUAAAUCAACAAUUUGGAUGGUUG